CGGGGCGUAGCGCAGCUUGGUAGCGCACCUCGUUCGGGACGAGGGGGUCGGAAGUUCAAAUCUUCUCGCCCCGACCA
RNAcentral lists this transfer RNA (77 nucleotides) under Deltaproteobacteria bacterium. RNAcentral describes it as "tRNA-Pro". It matches the Rfam family "tRNA". Rfam says of the family: Transfer RNA (tRNA) molecules are approximately 80 nucleotides in length. Their secondary structure includes four short double-helical elements and three loops (D, anti-codon, and T loops). Lineage: Bacteria; Pseudomonadati; Myxococcota; Myxococcia. The record is from RNAcentral.